Molecule: transfer RNA, 90 nt
Filed under: Rhodotorula graminis WP1
Lineage: Eukaryota; Fungi; Basidiomycota; Microbotryomycetes; Sporidiobolales; Sporidiobolaceae
Rfam family: tRNA
About the family: Transfer RNA (tRNA) molecules are approximately 80 nucleotides in length. Their secondary structure includes four short double-helical elements and three loops (D, anti-codon, and T loops). Further hydrogen bonds mediate the characteristic L-shaped molecular structure. tRNAs have two regions of fundamental functional importance: the anti-codon, which is responsible for specific mRNA codon recognition, and the 3' end, to which the tRNAs corresponding amino acid is attached (by aminoacyl-tRNA synthetases). tRNAs cope with the degeneracy of the genetic code in two manners: having more than one tRNA (with a specific anti-codon) for a particular amino acid; and 'wobble' base-pairing, i.e. permitting non-standard base-pairing at the 3rd anti-codon position.
Source: Rfam by way of RNAcentral
GGUGUUUUGGCCGAGCGGUCUAAGGCGCUAGCUUAAGGUUUGUUGACCCGCUAGUCCGAAAGGGCGUGAGUUCGAAUCUCACAGACAUCA